CUGGAAGACACACUGGAAGGAGGGAAAGGCUGGAGAAGAAGAUGCAGAGCACAGUGUGAAGGGAGAACUGGAACAGAUUCCAGGCACUGAGAUCAAAAUGGAGUGGUGACCUGACUGAGAGUGAGAGGGAGCGGAGGCUUGUUUCUGCAGCCUCUCUGUGGAUCACAUCCAGGUCUCUGGCUGAAACCAACUAUCCACCAUCUGGACCUUGGACCAAGUCCUCUCUGUCUCCAGUCGUACUCAUCAACGAGACGUAUUCACAAUCAUCACGUCAAGUCUGCAAGCGUGUGAGACCACAAGGCAAAAUAUGAGCUGCUUGUAAACAAGGGACUACAAUACUUAAAUGUAUUUUACUACCUCUGUAGCCUAUAUGCCUACAUAAUUAUGUAUCUUGAUGCACUGAAUAUUACUUCUGGCCUACCUGAUUCCGUAGUAAUGUUUUAAUUAAGUCUUUGUAUUAAGUUCUUCUAUGCCAUGUGAAUGUUCCCCCCAUGUCUUCUAGUCUGAAAGA
Molecule: long non-coding RNA, 511 nt
Organism: Acanthopagrus latus (yellowfin seabream)
Lineage: Eukaryota; Metazoa; Chordata; Actinopteri; Spariformes; Sparidae
Exons: 3
Source: RefSeq, a predicted model, not a curated record